Chelonia mydas (Green sea turtle) is the source of this 9065-nucleotide RNA transcript. It is a transcript of the gene named SHOC2 leucine rich repeat scaffold protein, with no coding region annotated. NCBI's taxonomy places the organism in Eukaryota, Metazoa, Chordata, Testudines, Cheloniidae. The transcript has 9 exons. The record is from RefSeq and is a predicted model, not a curated record.
CGCGCGGCGCUCUACCUGCGGCUGUGGCGCUCUCGAUGGUGUGGCGGAGGUCUGUGGGUGGGGAGUCCCGUGACGGGUCGGUGCGCGGUGACGGCGGCCGGUAGGGGGCCGGCAGGGCCGGGCUUGAGAGUGGCUGAGGAGGAUGGCGGAUCCCUCACGAAAUUCUAAUAAGGAGCAUUUGACCAUCUGAUCUCUUAAAGUUGAACCUUUCAGUAUCAGGAUUAGGAACAAGUGUCUUCAGAAUCAAUAUGUAGCAAAUGGGUAUCACUCAACUGAAGUUGGUCCCUCAAGCCAACAUAUUUGUGUUUUAAGGAUCCUUGCACUUUCAGCAGUGAAUUAAUUGUUUUUUUUGUUAACUGAAAAAAGUGGAUUUCAUGUGGUGCUUGCUAAACGUUGAAUCACCAUGAGUAGUAAUCUAGGAAAAGAAAAAGACUGUAAAGAGAAGGAUCCAAAAGUCCCAUUGGCAAAGGAACGGGAGAAGGAGGCUAAGGCCUCUGGAGGAUUUGGAAAAGAAAGCAAAGAAAAAGAGCCUAAGACCAAAGGGAAAGAUGCCAAAGAUGGAAAGAAGGACUCCAGUAGUGCACAGCCUGGGGUAGCUUUUUCAGUAGACAACACAAUAAAACGACCUAAUCCAGCCCCAGCCGCUCGCAAAAAAUCCAGCAAUGCUGAGGUGAUCAAAGAGCUAAAUAAAUGCCGAGAAGAGAAUUCAAUGCGCUUGGACUUGUCCAAGAGGUCUAUACACAUGCUUCCAUCAUCUAUCAAAGAGUUGACACAGUUAACGGAACUUUAUUUAUACAGUAACAAAUUGCAGUCUCUACCUGCAGAGGUGGGCUGUCUUGUGAAUCUGAUGACACUGGCUUUAAGUGAGAACUCACUUACCAGUUUGCCUGACUCUCUUGAUAACUUGAAGAAACUGCGCAUGCUUGAUCUACGGCAUAACAAACUUAGAGAAAUUCCUUCAGUGGUGUACAGGCUAAAUUCUCUUGCCACUCUUUAUCUACGCUUUAAUCGUAUAACUACUGUGGAAAAGGAUAUCAAAAGCUUGUCAAAACUCACCAUGCUUAGCAUACGAGAGAACAAAAUCAAGCAACUACCUGCUGAAAUUGGCGAGUUGUGUAACCUCAUAACUCUGGAUGUAGCGCACAAUCAGCUUGAACAUCUUCCAAAGGAGAUUGGAAAUUGCACACAAAUCACCAACCUUGACUUGCAGCACAAUGAGCUCUUGGACCUACCAGAAACCAUAGGAAAUUUGUCCAGUCUAAGUCGUCUUGGCCUAAGGUACAAUAGACUGUCAGCAAUCCCCAAGUCUUUAGCAAAAUGUAGUGAACUUGAUGAACUGAAUUUGGAGAACAACAACAUUUCCACUUUACCAGAGGGUCUUUUAUCGAGUCUUGUGAACCUGACUAGCUUAACAUUGGCCAGGAACUGCUUCCAGUCAUAUCCAGUGGGUGGCCCAUCACAGUUCUCCACAAUCUACUCUCUCAACAUGGAACACAACCGCAUCAGCAAAAUCCCGUUUGGAAUUUUCUCUAGAGCUAAAGUGUUAAGUAAGCUGAACAUGAAGGACAAUCAGCUAACCUCACUCCCCUUGGACUUUGGGACUUGGACCAGCAUGGUGGAACUGAAUUUAGCCACUAAUCAGCUCACAAAAAUUCCUGAGGAUGUGUCUGGGCUAGUUUCCCUUGAGGUUCUUAUCUUGUCAAAUAAUCUUCUGAAGAAACUUCCCCAUGGCAUUGGAAACCUACGGAAAAUAAGAGAGUUGGAUCUAGAGGAGAACAAACUGGAAUCCUUGCCAAAUGAAAUUGCUUACCUUAAGGAUCUGCAGAAAUUGGUCUUGACUAAUAAUCAGUUGACCACCCUUCCAAGAGGAAUUGGUCACCUCAUCAAUCUGACACAUCUUGGGCUAGGAGAGAAUCUUCUCACACACCUUCCUGAAGAAAUUGGUAAGGUGCUAUUUCUGAUAAAUAUAAAUAUACAGGAUGGUUAAGCAAUAACCUCCAAAUACCUCUGGGAGACACACAAUGAUAGAAAUUUAUUGUGUUCAUAAACAAAGACCACAAAAUUCAAGGAGAAACUUUUAUUGUGAGGAGGUAUGCACCCCUACUUGAAAUUUCUGCCAGCACUACAAUAUUACAUGCUUUCUCUAUUUUCAUGAGAGAAAUGACUUAGCUUUUUCUGAUUAAUUACCCUGUGUGUGAAGAACUUGUAGCGGGAAACUGACUUGGAUUAAGUAGUUUCCUUCUCUAUCAAGCUCUUCACACACUGUGCUAAAGAUAAAUUUAUAGGAUUGUGUAGUGCCAGUGUUCGACAACUUUCCUUUCCAACCAUUUCCCUGUAAAGACUCAUUAGGAAAGGAAUCAGACUAAUCCUAUGACUUUUCUUUCUGGCCACGCUGCAGAAGUAAAAUUUUAUGUGAGGGAAGGGGCUGCAGAGGGAAUCUAGGAGAGGCACUUUCCUUCUACAAAUCUUUCCAUUUGCAUAUCAUCACACUCUGCUUGCCUUGCUGAGACAAGAGAAGAGGAGAAGGAAAUACAGGGAAAGGAGAGGAAAGAGAAUAAAAGAGACCUAAACACCAUGAAAAUGAGUGAGAAAUACAGGGCCACAUGGCUAGAGAAGAGGGAAACAGAGAUACUUCAGCAGUGUCAGCACCUCCAGUGAAACACCAUCACAGCCAGUGCAAAUCUUGCACAUGUUGGAGUGAGAAGGGCCAAAUCUCAGCUAAACCUGGCCCUAUGCAUUCUAGAUCAUAAAUUAGUUGAGCUCAGGUGCCUUAUACUCUAAUCUAUAGAGUUAAAAUAAAUUACUAUGUUUAAAACACUCUAGUGAGUGGUAGAGACUGGUUAUUAAAGUUUUCAAAUUUGAUUGUCUCAUGUAGAAUUAUCAGAUAGCGCUCAGAGUUCUGCUCAACUCUGCCCUUUCUGCUUUGCAGUCUCUCACCCUGGCUCCCCAAUCUUCCUCAGAUUCUAUAUGUGGUUCCCCUGCUUGUACUCUGAACCUUUCGCACGCUCUCCCAGUCCACCAGUGGUCCUGAAACCUUUCCUUCCCCAACAUGCUCUUUAACCCUCUAACACGCCUGUCACCCUCUCUGCUUCUCCUCUAGGUCUUUGAUGUUUCACCAAGAGGUGAGUGUUGUAAGGCAGCAGGAGUAUUCAGUAGAGAUUUACAUAUUCUCAUUACUGACUCUGCGACUGUGAACAGUUACAUGAUAGAAAAAAAUUCUGCUAAUUGUAACUACAGUAAUACAAAUAAUAGUAAAACAAUUCUAACAAUACCUACUUCCAGUUAGCAUUGAAACUCUUAUUGGUAUUUUGCGGUAUGUGUCCAAGUACAUCAUUUUCCACAUGCCACUCACUCCCUUAAAGAAUUACUCUGUGUAAACCUGUCUUUGCUCAGUUAAUGCUCCUGCCAAUGUCCCCAAUGCAACAUCACUGGGAAGCUUUGACAAACAAAUGGUGCAAUACUAUCCUGCCAUGAACAAGUGUUGUAUUUUUUUUUUUUUUUUUACCAUUUUUAUUAAUCUAAAGUGGAGCUGGCCCUCAGAACAGGAGCAGUGCUUAUAGUAUUAGUAUAGGUGAUCUGUAGGGACUACAAUGAAAGGAUCUAUAUACAGGGAUGUUCAGUUAUCUCGUUUGGAUUUUGGCCUCCAAGAUAGGUAAGCAUGGGCAAGAAAGAGAAUAGGAAAUGUUACUCUGCUCUCUAGCACAUCAUAUUGGUUGAUUUGUGUAGAAAUCACACUUUGAAUGGAAACCUUUCAGUGACCAUCACUACAGCGAAUUGAGCUGAAUGUGACUCUUACUUAGACACCUGUGGGCAAGGAGGUUGCUAUGCUUGAAAAUAGAAGUGGACAUGGGUUGUUUCCAUGGUAGAGAAUUUCCAACUGAAUUUCCCUUGUGAGUUUAAAAGAUUCUACUUAUAUGUUAUAAGCUUACCAUGUGAAACAAAAGGGAUAUUUUACUUUUAUAUUUAUGAAUGUUUUAUUUUAACCAGGUACACUGGAGAAUCUGGAAGAACUGUAUUUGAAUGACAAUCCCAAUCUGCACAGCCUUCCCUUUGAGCUGGCCCUCUGCAGCAAACUGUCAAUAAUGAGUAUUGAGAACUGCCCACUCAGCCACCUUCCACCUCAGAUCGUUGCUGGGGGACCCUCCUUCAUCAUUCAGUUCCUAAAAAUGCAGGGACCAUAUCGUGCCAUGGUCUGAUGUAAAUUGGAUUGUCCCAUACACUGUACAAAAUACAAACUGCAUUAAUGUUGUCAUUAUAUAUAAUAUAAUAUACAUAUAAUAUUAUAUUAUAUAUAAAAAUAUAUAAAUAAUAUAAAAAGGCAAAUUUAAGACUGCAUUAUGUGUUUCUGCUAAUAGAGGAAUCAUAGCCAUUUAGAUUUUUUUUAUUCUGUAAAAAUGCUUGUCUAAGUUUUCUUUGCUGAAUUUGGUGGAUGUUUGUCUGAGUAAUCUGGAAAUGCCAGUUCACUUUAAGCAAUUGCCAACAAAUUCAAAAGUUGUUAAAUUUAAGGGAAAAGAGUAGUUUUUACUUAGAUCUACUUUCAGUUAGCAAAAAAUGCGCAAUCUUUUAUGGUGAACUUUUUUCUUUUCUGUUUUCCUCCCUCUCCUAUGUGUCAAAACCUGGUAGGGUCACACAUCCUGAAGUUGGUGGGAUUUUCUUUAAUUUAUUUUGAGAUUUGAAACAAGCGGUGUUUUUAUAUUGUUUACAGUCAGAGUAAAUCACUGGAUUUUGUUUUGUUUUGAUUUGCUCUGUUUUAAUCAAUCUAGAAUUUAUAUGCUUCUGUUGAAGAAUUUUUAUCAGCUGGUUUGUAUACUAAAAAUAUUUACUCAUCAAAACAACUGGUAGGUGGAAAAGAUGCAGUCAAAAAAGCUUGAAUUCUUGUAAGUCUUGCUUCCCUGAGUUAUCAGUUGUGGGCAUAACAUAUCUGAACUGAGCCUUUUGUGGUUGGUCUUUUCUAGCACAAGUAACCUUUUCAGAUUGGUCUCAGUGAAGAGCAGUUUUUGUUUUGUGAAGUUACAGAUUCAUAAGGUCUAACAGUACAGUUGAAUGGCAAGGAAAUAAUAUAUAUUAUCUUUUUUUGUUAUAAUGUUGGGUCAUAAACGACAACAGGCAAUUUUAAGGAUUCCUCAUAGUCCUUGUACAAUAAAUGAAUGUCUUACUUUUAAACACUGCAAUAUAUGUAAGUUUUAAGGUUGGUUAACAACGUACUAUGGUUUUAUAUCUUGACUUGCCUUGUACCUCCUUCCAUUAUGGAACUUCUGUGUCCAAGCACAAUAGCUCCACACUGUGCUGUUUUGCUGCUGAACUAAAUGCACUUUUCCCCACAGCUGGGGCACUUGCUUCAAAAUAUUCAGUUCAGUACCACAUCUGUUUUUUUAACCUCAUCCUGUCAAUUUCAGUAUUAAAGAACGUUCUGUUAAAAAGAGGCACCUUUUCAUUUGUGCACAGAUGUUGAUCGCUCAGUAGAAAUAUUGUACGUGGUUCACAUGCGAUUUUAUUUGAAUUUGCUUGACUGCUUAGAAAGCUAAAGAUGCUGCAGUGAAAUAGAUACUAUCACUCCACUUGCAAGAUCAGUUUAAGAUGAUCUUUUCUUUAAGAAGAUGGAAACUCUAAAGGCAGUUACAUUUCAGAUGUUGACUAAACUGUCCAAUUUAUACUCAUUAUAAUGGAAUUGCUGCUGGACUAUUGUGACUUAGAGAUGACUAUCUUUUGAAUGAAAUUAAAUCAAAUGAUGUCAGAAAAAAUCUAUUUCCCGUGCAGAAGUUUGGGGAGUAUAAUUUUUGGCUUUUAGACAUGCUUAAUUUUAUGUAUUGCCUUUGGUCUGGUUUUUCCAGCAUUAACAGUAACUUCGCAUUCUGUUUUGUCUGAUGUUUUUUUAUUAACGAGGAACAGCUUUUAAAUGGAAGGCAGGUGGAGAUAUAAAACCGUAGAGGGCUCAAACGUGCUGUAAAACUAUUGUAGAUGUCACUGGAUUUUACCAAGUAAUGUCCGUUCCCCUCCCUUGUUUUUUACAUCUACUGUAGCUUUUCAGUUUAGAUUUUAGAUUAUAAAAGAAACUAGUUUAUUACAGCUCUGCCUGGAGUUAAUCUUUCUCAGCAGUAAUAUGUUAAAAUAUGAAGAUGCUGAAAUGUGUAGCUUUGAAGACUGUAAUCUAACUUCUGAAUUUACUGCUGAAACCUACUUCUUGCUCCCUCAGUUCACUUGGGAAAACAGUUUCUGAUUAAUAUGAUUCCUUAAAACAAAGGUGGCUGCCCCUGUGUCUUAAGCAUAUCAGUUGUGUUCCCCGUUUGCACCCCUAAUCUCCCAUUUUUGAUGAGACAAUUUGCCCUUUAAUUUAUAAGAUAACUUGUGUCUCGAUCUGUUACAAUAGAGCAAGAUUUUAGGUGUGUAAUACAGUAGGAAACUAGCCCAAGAGGAGUCAUUUUAGGUGCUUCUUAAAAGUUUCAAGUAAUAGUGCAUCUAAUAGCAGGCUGCCUCCUCCUGAAGCGUUUCCAUUGCCACUGCUAGACAGUCAGGUAUAGAUGCUGUUGGGCUGCAUUUAUGGAAUUAAGAUUGUUUAGUAUGUAAAUAUUUUGAUCUGUUUUAUUCAUCUUGUUAAGGUACAUGGUUAAUGACUGUACAAUUGGAGCUGAUCCCCUCUUCCAAAAACUUGGUUGGAUGAGAAGUUGGCUUACCAAAAAUACUUUUUACACUCUUAAAAAAAAAUAAAAUAAAAAAAACCCCGUCUCCAUUACACUUGUAGGAAUAAAGUAAUGAAUUAAAACAUAGCUAUGUUAAAAACAGGAUAUUUUUCAAUGUAUCCUUGUGCUAAAAUAGUAGCUUCAAUGCCAAAUACUCCUGAGUCCUGUUUGGGCGUUUAAUUUUGUACUUUUGAAGUAAAUACUUCUUGCAGUGUCUAGAGGGAGUGUGAGUAAAACAGCGUGAGAUAUUAAGUUCUGGUGCAAAGAAUUAACUCAAAGAAUUCAAGAAGUUUCCUUAUAAAAUGAGUUAUUUAAUUUUGGUGUUAAAUGGGUGAGUAUCAUUGCUUGGAAUAAGCUUUAAUGUAUAAAUGUUAUUAGUCCCUCAGCUAUUUAUCUGACACCUUGAUCAUUUAAAACAAUUCUAUAACCUGACAUAACUUUUUUUAAUUUUCCAGGAUGUUGCAUUGUGCAUCUGUUAACUAAGUACAGUUUUUAGGUUGUCUUUAAUGCCAAAUGCCAUUGAGUGGGGUUUGUAUAUAUGUUUAAGAAUUUUGGAUCAUGCUGAUUAAAUUAAAAAUGAGAAGAAAGAACUCAGUCCUGAAAAAUAUAUGGUAUUGAAGCAUGAGCAAGAUGGAGUAAUAAGGUUCUAAGGGGUACUUUUUAAGACUAGGAUGGUCAAAGGGGUGAGCCAGAUUUCUGUUAAAACUUUUGUCCCUUGUGAUACUGUUCUGGGUAGUGCUAUCUCUGAAAUAAAUAAGAAGAGAUUAUAAAAAGUGUGCCAAUCUUUAGAAAUCUGGGUGCAAAUCAAAUCAUGACCUCUAUUGCCUGCCUGUGGAAGUAUCAGCACUUGUAUUUAUAGGACACUCAUGAACUAUGCCUUUACUAACAAAAGCAAAAUACCAUGCUACAGAGUAUAGUAUUAUGGUACUCUGAUAAGUAUAAAACUGAUUAUAAGGGUUGUCUUUUUAAAAACGUUGAUUAAAUGUAAAGGAAGAAUAACUGGCAAUAUGACUUUUAGUUUUGAAACAAGUUAUAUUGUGUUUAAAGUGACUAAAUAGAAAUUUGGCUGCUAAUUCUUGGCUUUGAAAAUGCUUGGUUUUCAUAAACACUAUAAUAAUAAUGUUCCCUCUCUGGCUGCCUCACAUUUAAUUUCCUAAACAAAAACAUCUAGCUGAACACAACCUGUGCAGUUUGGUCAUAUGGUUGCAUACCUGGCCUUUUUUUAACUUGCCCGAUGCUAUUGGAAACUCUUAAAUUCAUGUUACUUUAUUUUAAAACAACUUAGUGUUGUAGAAUAUUUGACGCUUCAGUGCCUCUUUUGGUUUUAGGGUUUUUGUGCAGUUUUGUUAAUGUUGUGUAAGAAAUCAUGUGUUCAAACUUCUUGAAAGAACAAUAAAGUUUGUUCACUUAAGUGGUUUUAAAAAACAGGACGUAGAAACGUUGUCCAGCUGGUUAGCACUUGAACCCAUUGCAGCACCUGAAAAACAAAAACUUCAAGUACCAUCUUUAAUCCUGGACGUGUGCAGAAUACCUUUUUUAAUGGAAAAACUUUUAUCAGAUGUUUCUUUCUUUCCUUGUUUCUCUCUUAAGGAUCAAUACAAAAUCAUAACAUAUCAAGGGAGGACGUGUCUUUUGUAUUAGUAAGGAAUCUGAAUGCAGCAGAGUAUUUUUGUAUAGUCAAUAUUGCACCUCAAUUGUAUCUUUAAUCGGCAUGCCAGAACUUGCUUUUAAUUAGACAUACAGUUGGCAGUAAUUUGCACAACACACAAACUUAAAAGGCACAGUUAGGACAAUUACAAACAAAUGAUAGUAUCUACAAACAGUAUCUAACGGUUUUUGUUUUUAUUCUCGUGAUCAGAAGAUUUAUGUUUAUUAUUCUGAUGUUUCGGUCUUAAACAGGUCUGCACAGGAUUUUUGCUGUGGAAAAAUACCAGAUCACAUUAAUUUGUGAUCAAAAGCUAAACAAAAGUGUAAACAGUCUACAAAAAAUGUACUUUUAAUCUGAAUUAUUGUAAUGUUGAUUGUUAUGUCUAUAAUAUAAAAGAUUGCCUUGCUUUUUUAUAAAUGUCAUUCUGUAUCAAUGCAUUCAUUAUAAAUAGUAUAUUUGUAAAUGAGCUGCCACUGAGUCUUUUGAAAGUUUUCUAGUGUUAAAAUCUAACUUAACCUGGAUGUAAAUCAUACUUUCGCAGUGUCACAAAUGAUUGAGAACUGCAUUUUCAUUAUAUACCUCUUCACUCUUUUGAAGAUGUUUUUCCAAGUAAAAUAUGAAGUUUAAUGUAUACCGAUUUCAGGAAACUUAUACUUCAAAAAUUGCAUGACAGUAACUGCUCUAAACAUAAAAAUGUAAAUUGCACACCUUUAUAAAGCAAAUGUUGGUAAAACUUUUUA